CAAUCAACGACUCAUUCAUCCCCUUCCACAUCCCUACCUCCUGCAGGAGCGAGCAACAAGUUUGUUGCCCUACUGUCCUCUCUUGUUCUCCCGAUUGGUGUCGCAAGAGCUAAGUAUGCGGUUCUUGGAUACGGCGGUUGCGGACGCAGAUCGAACGUCUUUGAGGCGUGCACCUGCAUCAGCGUCAAAGGUACCUCGCUCAUGGUCCAUACUCAUUGACCUCCUCUUGUCCAUCCCCUCUCUCUUGAUCUCAAAUAUUCAUGUCUCCCAGAUCUAAUCCACUGCAUCGAGG
Molecule: long non-coding RNA, 292 nt
Filed under: Hordeum vulgare
Lineage: Eukaryota; Viridiplantae; Streptophyta; Magnoliopsida; Poales; Poaceae
Description: long non-coding RNA (HVUL_LNC007312)
Source: RNAcentral